GAGGUGGAUGUGAGAGGAAUGGGGGAAGAGAGGAAGUGCUGUGGCAAACUGUCCCAUCUAAAAGGGACAACUGCCUCUUGCUUCCACAUGGGAAUGCGGGGCCCAAUUUGACGUAUCAUCCAAUUUGUCAAAAGCAGCCACAAACCCAGAAAUUUUUAUGAUAAAUUUUCUGAUUUUAAAAUAUUGACUUUUAAUUGAGUUCUUGAAAUGCAGCCCAAUAUUGCGUGUAUUGACCUACUUGCAGUUUUUGGGAUGUGCUGUUUUAUCUUGUGACUCUCUAUUUGUAAAUGAUGCUCCCUAUAAGUGCCACUCCUUCCCUCCUCCUGCCUCAAAACCAGGCAAAAUUAGAUUAUUUAAAAUGUCAGGUUAGCCUUUCCUGACCCCAAGACAGGCAGCUCUCCUAGUGUUCUCAAAGCUCUAGCAUUUCGUACAUUGCAUUGCAAUGCUUUUAUUCCCCGGCUUUGAGCAAAAACAUUAUUUAUUUUUUUGGUAAUUAUAACACUUGGUAGUUAAAUAUUUUUUGCCGUAUAAUGAAUUAAACUCUGCGUUUGAAUCUGUUGAUUCAGUAUCCUAUUGCUCUCGUUGAUUCUCUUUCUCCUCACAUAUUUUUAGUGUUCAAAGGAUCUUUUUUUCCCUAAGGAAUGUGUUAUAUAAGGUAAACAUCAUUUUGAUGCUUCGGUUUGAAUUGUCUAGGUCUAAAAUUAAUUCUUUAUGACUUAUGUUUAUGAUACUAAUUCUUUCCAUCAAGGAAUUAAGUCUUCAUUAUGGACGUAUUUCUUGAUUUCUUUCAUUAUAAUUUGUUCAUGUUUUUGUCUAGGUCAUGAAUAUCCCUUAUUGCAUAAAUUCUUUCUUGGCUAAAUAUAUCUGUAUUGCUAUGGGAAUCUCUAUCUUCAGAAUGCUAUUGAUUUUCAAAAUAUUUGUCUUUAGGUGAGUUGUCUUUGUUCUAACAGUAUUAGAUGGCUUGUUUGGUUUUUUUUUUUAAAUAUAAAAUUGUAGCUGCAAAAAUAUUUGUCUUAUGUAUUUCUAUUAUAUCUUUUUGUUAAAUAAAAUUGUAAUAAGAUAUUUUUGGAUAUUUCCUCAUUUAAUAUGAAGUUAAUUAUUGGUUUUAAACAAAUAUUCUCUAUUAUAAUAAGGGAAAUAACAUCCUUUAUUCUUGUUUAUUAGAAGCUUUUGGUAGGAAUUGGUAUCUUUUGAUAUAAUCAUAUAAUGUUAAUCAUUUAAGUUACCUAAUAUGAUUAUAUUCAUGGUUUUCAUGAUACUAAAACAUCCUUAAAUUCUUGAGUAAGCUCCACUUGAUAAUGCCAUAUAUUCUUUUAAUGUAUUUUUUAUCCUAUUUGGUAACUUUCAAGUGUAUGCAUCUAAACAUUCAUAAAUAAAUUUCAUUUAUAUGU
This 1391-nucleotide long non-coding RNA is filed under the name Phocoena sinus (vaquita). Its description in RNAcentral is "lncRNA (ENSPSNG00000018868.1)". The record is from RNAcentral. Lineage: Eukaryota; Metazoa; Chordata; Mammalia; Artiodactyla; Phocoenidae.